GUGUCAGCAGCCGCGGUAAUACGGAGGGUGCAAGCGUUAUCCGGAUUCACUGGGUUUAAAGGGUGCGUAGGUGGACAUUUAAGUCAGUGGUGAAAUCUUUGGGCUUAACCCGAAAACUGCCAUUGAUACUAUUUGUCUUGAAUUCUCUGGAGGUAAGCGGAAUAUGUCAUGUAGCGGUGAAAUGCUUAGAUAUGACAUAGAACACCCAUUGCGAAGGCAGCUUACUACGGAGACAUUGACACUGAGGCACGAAAGCGUGGGGAUCAAACAGGAUUAGAUACCCCAGUAGUCC
RNAcentral lists this ribosomal RNA (292 nucleotides) under uncultured bacterium. Its description in RNAcentral is "partial 16S ribosomal RNA". It matches the Rfam family "Bacterial small subunit ribosomal RNA", at positions 505 to 796 of the family's 1533-position model. The record is from RNAcentral.